AUGCUAGACCAUGUAGUUAAUGUAUGACUAAGUGGACAUGAGAAGAUAAUUUUUUGAUGAAUGCAUCUAGCAUAUGCCAUCUAUCUCUAAGUCAAUUGAAAUAAGAUUUUGAUUAAUUUUAUCUACGAAUUGAAUCAAGUAGAGUAAGGUUCCAAUUUAAUUGAAAAGAGAUUAGGUUAGAGAAAUUAUUGAUCAGUAAUAGUGAUUCGGCUACAUUGGGUCAAGUCGAAUUGGAUCAAGGCAAA
RNAcentral lists this long non-coding RNA (245 nucleotides) under Elaeis guineensis (African oil palm). Its description in RNAcentral is "long non-coding RNA (EGUI_LNC053074)". Lineage: Eukaryota; Viridiplantae; Streptophyta; Magnoliopsida; Arecales; Arecaceae. The record is from RNAcentral.